Molecule: ribosomal RNA, 484 nt
Filed under: uncultured bacterium
Lineage: Bacteria
Description: partial 16S ribosomal RNA
Rfam family: Bacterial small subunit ribosomal RNA
Source: RNAcentral
AAUGAACGCUGGCGGCAUGCUUAACACAUGCCAGUCGAACGGCAGCGCGGGGUUCUGGCUGGUCGCGCGUGGCGAACGGGCGAGUGAUGCACAGGAAUGUGCCCUGCAGAGGGGGAUGGGAUGGCGAAGGGAGGAUGAAUAUCACAUACGAUAAGAGGGUGAAAGGCGGGGUUCGAUAGGCAAAGACGUAUUUGCGGGGACGAGGCCGGAUUUGCUAGUUGGUGGGGUAAGGGCUUACCAAGGCGACGAUCCGUAGCCGAGCUGAGAGGCCGACCAGCCACACUGGAACUGAAACACGGUCCAGACUCCUACGGGAGGCAGCAGUCGGGAAUGUUGGGCAAUGGGGGCAAGCCUGAUGCAGCCAUGCCGCGUGAGUGAUGAAGGCCUUCGGAUUGUAAAACGCUGUUAUUAGGGAAGAAAACCUGUGUACUAAAACAUGGAGGGCAUGACGGUACCGAAUAAAAAAGCAACGGCUAACUACGUG